This 473-nucleotide ribosomal RNA is filed under the name uncultured bacterium. Its description in RNAcentral is "bacterial SSU rRNA". It matches the Rfam family "Bacterial small subunit ribosomal RNA", at positions 355 to 825 of the family's 1533-position model. The record is from RNAcentral.
UGGGGAAUAUUGCGCAAUGGGCGAAAGCCUGACGCAGCAACGCCGCGUGAGUGAUGAAGGCCUUCGGGUCGUAAAGCUCUGUCGGAGGGAACGAAUGCUCUUGAGGUUAAUAGCCUCGGGAGGUGACGGUACCCUCAAAGGAAGCACCGGCUAACUCUGUGCCAGCAGCCGCGGUAAUACGUAGGGACCAAGCGUUGUUCGGAUUUACUGGGCGUAAAGGGCGCGUAGGCGGCAUGACAAGUCACUUGUGAAAUCUCUGGGCUUAACCCAGAACGGCCAAGUGAUACUGUCGCGCUAGAGUGCAGAAGGGGCAAUCGGAAUUCUUGGUGUAGCGGUGAAAUGCGUAGAUAUCAAGAGGAACACCUGAGGUGAAGACGGGUUGCUGGGCUGACACUGACGCUGAGGCGCGAAAGCCAGGGGAGCAAACGGGAUUAGAUACCCCAGUAGUCCCUGAGCGGGCUGGCAAGGCGCAU